RNAcentral lists this long non-coding RNA (229 nucleotides) under Coturnix japonica (Japanese quail). RNAcentral's name for it is "lncRNA (ENSCJPG00005002493.1)". Lineage: Eukaryota; Metazoa; Chordata; Aves; Galliformes; Phasianidae. The record is from RNAcentral.
GUGCAGCAGCUGUGGUGGGAUAUGGAGAUAUCUUGUGGACUGCUAGAAAGAAAGAGUAGUAUCCUAGCUUGCAAAGAAAGCUUUAAUGUUUCACUACUACUGAUAACUGGAAACAGAGAAUAUCUUCAUAGGGUCGAUCCACCUGGACCCUUGCCCUAGGUGCAUGGCAGUUUUCAACCAGCGCUGGAGAAGCCAAGUCUGGGCCUGAGGUUCCUGCUUAUUCCCCGAG